Molecule: non-coding RNA, 220 nt
Organism: Pelobates cultripes (western spadefoot toad)
Lineage: Eukaryota; Metazoa; Chordata; Amphibia; Anura; Pelobatidae
Source: the annotation of a GenBank genome assembly
GGAGGACUCAAAUGCUUUGAUGCUAGUGCUUCUCUAUGAAUUAUGCAAUGGAUCCACAGUGCAUCCGGAGCUUUGCUUUCGAUUAAGCGCCUUCAAACCUCCAUAACGGACAGACAUCGAACGCCCACCAUCAGUACAGACACCAACACACUUUAUCCAUUCUAAAUUAUAUUCAGCCAUAAAUGUAUCAAGGAUCUCAAACAAGUCUUGAGCCUUUGUA